CCUACGGGAGGCAGCAGUGAGGAAUAUUGGUCAAUGGGCGCGAGCCUGAACCAGCCAAGUAGCGUGAAGGAUGACUGCCCUACGGGUUGUAAACUUCUUUUAUAAGGGAAUAAAGUGAGUCACGUGUGCCUUUUUGUAUGUACUUUAUGAAUAAGGAUCGGCUAACUCGGUGCCAGCAGCCGCGGUAAUACGGAGGAUCCGAGCGUUAUCCGGAUUUAUUGGGUUUAAAGGGAGCGUAGAUGGGUUGUUAAGUCAGUUGUGAAAGUUUGAGGCUCAACCGUAAAAUUGCAAUUGGUACUGGCAUCCUUGAGUACAGGUGAGGCAGGCGGAAUUCGUGGUGUAGCGGUGAAAUGCUUAGAUAUCACGAAGAACUCCGAUUGCGAAGGCAGCCUACUAAACUGCCACUGACAUUGAUGCUCGAAAGUGUGGGUAUCAAACAGGAUUAGAUACCCCGGUAGUC
This 460-nucleotide ribosomal RNA is filed under the name uncultured bacterium. RNAcentral's name for it is "partial 16S ribosomal RNA". It matches the Rfam family "Bacterial small subunit ribosomal RNA", at positions 338 to 795 of the family's 1533-position model. The record is from RNAcentral.